AGUCGUAACAAGGUUACCGUAGGUGAACCUGCGGUAGGAUCAUUAACAAAUCCAAGAUGGGAGUCGGUACUUUCACGGUACUUGGCGCCUAUGCGUGCCGGCUGCGAUGCGCUGUGGCGUUCGCGGCCGUGUAUGUUCGUGCUUAGCACAAGUAUGUAUGUUGGACAGAUGUGACGUAAGUUAUAUGUGUGGGAACGCGUAAGCAAACAACAACUUUUAACAAUGGAUCUCUAGGCUCUU
RNAcentral lists this unclassified non-coding RNA (240 nucleotides) under fungal sp. Its description in RNAcentral is "partial internal transcribed spacer region". The stretch from base 1 to 45 matches the Rfam family "Eukaryotic small subunit ribosomal RNA", at positions 1787 to 1831 of the family's 1831-position model. The record is from RNAcentral. Lineage: Eukaryota; Fungi.